Molecule: non-coding RNA, 1789 nt
Organism: Lactuca sativa (garden lettuce)
Lineage: Eukaryota; Viridiplantae; Streptophyta; Magnoliopsida; Asterales; Asteraceae
Source: RefSeq, a predicted model, not a curated record
UUUAUACCAAUGGGGAUUGGGUUGCUGUCGACAUCUUCUUCUUUAUCUCUUCUGAUUAAUGUACUACGUGUCUGCAUCUCACCUCUUCCACCGCUUUCCACCACCUCCUAUAAUGUUUAUUUGAUCUUUCUUUAGAGAAGAAGUCGUCCAGUUCUUUGAUUAAUAAUCUGGCCUUUUUUUGUCUUUCUUCCGAUUGAUCAUUCCUCUCCCUUCUUCAACCUUUCGCUGACGGCGGCCGUGUUGAGGGCAUCGACUCUUCUUCUCCACAUCUACUUCCUACUGUUGUAUCUAUUUGCCCAUCUAUAAACGCGUACAACAUCGAUUUUUAUUAUCCACCGCCUGGAAGUGAAAUCCAUUCUCCGUCUUUAAUUUUUAGAUGUACACAAAUAUGGGUGAACGCGAUGACAAAGAAAGUGGAAGGACGCCCAUAUCGGCUCUCUUUCACCAUUAUUCUCUCUCCCACCGCCAUUAUCCCGCUUCAUUGCUUCACUCUGGAAAAUAACUACCUUCAAAGCUGAUUUCGACAUGAAAUCAACAACAACUAAUAACACAUAUCAAUGUUGAUGCUGGUGGUGGUGCGAUGGCGUUGGCUGCCGGUGGCAGUGGCUGGAGGUCAUGUGGGGUUGAACUUUCCUUACCGGUUGAAAGGCUGUUGUGGCGACCCUUCAAGAUGAGUCAUAAGAAAUCGAGAGGAUGAAACAAAGCAUCAUCGUUCCUCAAUUUCCUGACUAUUUUCAACAUUGAAAUAAUCAGCAAGUAUCCUCGCCCAAUUUCUCGAUGUUUUCAAAAUUUGGAUUGAAAUAUGUCUUUUCUUUCUCAGCACUCAUAGGAAAUUGUUAGGUUUUUUAAUUUGUGUUCCAUUUUUUUUUAUGAAAAUCGUAGGAGAGAGUUUUGAAGUGGAAUUGUGGCUAUGGUUAAUUAAUCUGUUCAGAAAUCAGAAGAGUGUGUAAAAAAAUACAUUUGGUUUCCUUUAUUGUAUGUUCUUUAAUAGAUUUGUCAAGUGCUUAGCAUCCUAUAUCUUCCCUUCAGCUGGUGUUGUUUUCAAAUGUUGGCGACUUAAAAAGGUACUUACUUAAAGAAGGAUUGUAUUGUUUUUGUUGUUCAAACUUUGCAUAUUUGAGGAUGCACGUGCUUGAUGAAAUGCUUCAAAGAACCGGUAAGAUUAGUUAUAUUCUAUCAUCCACUACACUAGCUUCAUUCAAUAACAACUACUUUUAAAUCUGCAUAAAAAUGAAAUUUACACUGUUGAUAUAAUUUCAUUCUCAUCUACAGUAUCUUUUGACUACAUAUUCAAGAUCUCAAAUACACGACUAAGCUGUUCAUCUUUUUUUCCUCUUUAGGUGUUGUUUGGAUUAAGUGUAUUAUGACCAUGCUAUUUAACACCUUAUCAUUUUGUUGUUGUUCAGGUGAGGGCAUUUUAUGUGAACAAUAUUCCAGAGAACACAUAAAUAGAGCAUCUUAGGGCAUUAUUUCAACACCAUAGGAAAGUCACAAAGUUUGUAAUGUCACCUACAAUGGCAGUCGGCAAACAGAAGUUUGGAUUUGUUCAUUUUGCAAAAAGGUUAACGGCUUUAAAAGUCGUCAAAGAUGGUCCAUUAUUCUUCAUUAUAUUCGGCUUCAUCCGAACCACAUCCCUCAAAAUGUUUAUGGUGGUUUUUUUGCAAAUCCGUAUGUAUAUAUUUGUUCUUUUUCAUUAAUGAAUUUUAAAUUAAAAAAAAUUAUUAUGAACCUGUAGAAUGAAUCUUUGUAUUUGGAGUUUACAUAAAGCUCUUGAAAUUAGAAAGUACUA